RNAcentral lists this ribosomal RNA (301 nucleotides) under uncultured bacterium. RNAcentral's name for it is "partial 16S ribosomal RNA". It matches the Rfam family "Bacterial small subunit ribosomal RNA", at positions 509 to 809 of the family's 1533-position model. The record is from RNAcentral.
CAGUCGCCGCGGGAAUACGGAGGGUGCAAGCGUUAAUCGGAAUUACUGGGCGUAAAGCGCACGCAGGCGGUCUGACAAGUCGGAUGUGAAAUCCCUGAGCUUAACUUAGGAAUUGCAUUCGAUACUGGGAAGCUAGAGUAUGGGAGAGGAUGGUAGAAUUCCAGGUGUAGCGGUGAAAUGCGUAGAGAUCUGGAGGAAUACCGAUGGCGAAGGCAGCCAUCUGGCCUAAUACUGACGCUGAGGUACGAAAGCAUGGGGAGCAAACAGGAUUAGAUACCCGAGUAGUCCCUGUCUCUUAUAA